GACGAACGCUGGCGGCGUGCUUAACACAUGCAGGUCGAACGGUAAGGCCCUUUCGGGGGUCCACGAGUGGCGAACGGGUGAGUAACACGUGGGUGAUCUUCCCUGCACUUUGGGAUAAGCCUGGGAAACUGGGUCUAAUACCGGAUAGGACUACGCGAUGCAUGUCGUGUGGUGGAAAGCUUUUGCGGUGUGGGAUGGGCCCGCGGCCUAUCAGCUUGUUGGUGGGGUGAUGGCCUACCAAGGCGACGACGGGUAGCCGGCCUGAGAGGGUGUCCGGCCACACUGGGACUGAGAUACGGCCCAGACUCCUACGGGAGGCAGCAGUGGGGAAUAUUGCACAAUGGGCGCAAGCCUGAUGCAGCGACGCCGCGUGGGGGAUGACGGCCUUCGGGUUGUAAACCCCUUUCAGCACAGACGAAGCGUAAGUGACGGUAUGUGCAGAAGAAGCACCGGCCAACUACGUG
Molecule: ribosomal RNA, 464 nt
Filed under: uncultured bacterium
Lineage: Bacteria
Description: partial 16S ribosomal RNA
Rfam family: Bacterial small subunit ribosomal RNA
Source: RNAcentral